UACGUAGGUGGCAAGCGUUGUUCGGAAUUAUUGGGCGUAAAGGGCGCGUAGGCGGUUUGUUAAGUCAGUUGUGAAAGCCCGGGGCUCAACCCCGGAGGGUCGACUGAUACUGGCGGACUAGAGUACGGAAGAGGUAGCUGGAAUUCCCGGUGUAGCGGUGAAAUGCGUAGAUAUCGGGAGGGACACCUGAGGCGAAGGCGGGCUACUGGGCCGAUACUGACGCUGAGGAGCGAAAGCCAGGGGAGCAAACGGG
RNAcentral lists this ribosomal RNA (253 nucleotides) under uncultured bacterium. RNAcentral's name for it is "partial 16S ribosomal RNA". It matches the Rfam family "Bacterial small subunit ribosomal RNA", at positions 524 to 776 of the family's 1533-position model. The record is from RNAcentral.